UGGGAGAUGGCUCAACUGGUAGAGCAUUGGACUUAAAUGCCUAAGGCUCUUGGUUCGAUCCCUAAUAUUACAU
RNAcentral lists this transfer RNA (73 nucleotides) under Erinaceus europaeus (western European hedgehog). It matches the Rfam family "tRNA". Rfam says of the family: Transfer RNA (tRNA) molecules are approximately 80 nucleotides in length. Their secondary structure includes four short double-helical elements and three loops (D, anti-codon, and T loops). Lineage: Eukaryota; Metazoa; Chordata; Mammalia; Eulipotyphla; Erinaceidae. The record is from Rfam by way of RNAcentral.